UUUUUUUAAUUACUCAGAUGAAUUUAUCACAUCUGUAUGUGUAUAACAAUCAUAACAAUCCAAUUUCACAGGAUUUCCAUCCCAUAACCCAAGGACAUCCCCCACCCCCCAAACUGUCUCCUCCAGAGACCAUAAGUUUUUCAGUGUCUGUGAGUCAGUAUCUGUUCUGCAAAGAAGUUCAGUCUCUCCUUUUUUCAGAUGCCACAUAUCAGUGAAAGCAUUUGAUGUUGGUGUCUCAUUGUAUGGCUGACUUCACUUAGCAUGAUAGUUUCUAGGUCCAUCCAUGUUGCUAAAAAUGCCGGUAUUUCAUUCCUUUUAAUGGAUGAGUAAUAUUCCAUUGUGUAUAUGUACUACACCUUCUUGAUCCACUCCUCUGUCAAUGGACAUUUGGGUUGUUUCCAUGUCUUGGCUAUUGCAAAUAGUGCUGCAAUGAACAUUGGAGUACAAGUGUCUUUGCGAGUCAUGGUUUUCUCUGCGUAGAUGCCCAGGGGUGGGAUUGCUGGAUCAAAUGGUAGUUCUAUUUUUAGUUUUCUGAGGAAUCUCCAUACUGUUUUCCAGAGAGGCUGCAUCAAUUUACAUUUCCACCAACAGUGUAAUAGGGUUCUUUUUUCUCCAAACCUUCUCUAGCACUUAUUGUUUGUAGACUUUUGGAUGAUGGCCAGUCUGGCUGGUGUAAGAUGGUACCUCAUCGUGGUUUUGAUUUUCAUUUGUCUAAGAAUGAGUGAUGUUGAACAUCUUUUCAUGUGUCUUUUGGCCAUCCAUGUGUCUUCUUUGGAGAACUGUCAGUUUAGAUCUUCUGCCCAUUUUUUGAUGGGUUGGCUGUAGGUGCGUGGGUUUAAUUCUGGGCUUUCUAUCCUGUUCCACUGAUCUAUAUUUCUGUCUUUGUGCCGGUACCAUGCAGUUUUGAUGACUGUUGCUUUGUAGUAUAGUCUGAAGUCCGGGAGCCUGAUUCCUCCAGCUCCAUUUUUCUUUUUCAGGAUGUCUUUGGCUAUUCUGGGUCUUUUGUGCUUCCAAACAAACUUUAAAAUAUUUUGUUCGAGUUCUGUGAAAAAUGUCCUUGGUAAUUUGAUAGGGAUUGCAUUGAAUCUGUAGAUUGCCUUGGGUAGUAUAGUCAUUUUGAUAAUAUUAACUCUUCCAAUCCACGAGCAUGGUAUAUCUUUCCAUCUAUUUGUGUCAUCUUUGAUUUCUUUCAUCAGUGGCUUAUAGUUUUCAGAGUACAGGUCUUUUGUCUCUUUAGGUAGGUUUACUCCUAGGUAUUUUAUUCUUUUGGAUGCGAUGGUAAAUGGGAUUGCUUCCCUAAUUUCUCUUUCUACUCUUUCAUUGUUAGUAUAUAAAAUACCAUUGAUUUCUGGGUAUUAAUUUUGUAUCCUGCAACUCUGCCAAAUUCGUGGAUGAGCUCUGACAGUUUUCUGGUAGAGACUUUAGGAUUCUCUAGGUAUAGUAUCAUGUCAUUUGCAAAUAGUGAUAGUUUUACUUCUUCCUUUCCAAUUUGGAUUCCUUUUAUUUCUUUUACUUCUCUGAUUGCCGUGGCUAGGACUUCCA
RNAcentral lists this long non-coding RNA (1542 nucleotides) under Sus scrofa (pig). RNAcentral's name for it is "lncRNA (ENSSSCG00060014494.1)". The record is from RNAcentral. Lineage: Eukaryota; Metazoa; Chordata; Mammalia; Artiodactyla; Suidae.